UGAGUAACCUGCCCUUAACUCUGGGAUAAGCCUGGGAAACUGGGUCUAAUACCGGAUAUGACUCCUCAUCGCAUGGGUGGGGGGUGGAAAGCUUUAUUGUGGUUUCGGAUGGACUCGCGGCCUAUCAGCUUGUUGGUGAGGUAAUGGCUCACCAAGGCGACGACGGGUAGCCGGCCUGAGAGGGUGACCGGCCACACUGGGACUGAGACACGGCCCAGACCUCCGUACGGGAGGCAG
Molecule: ribosomal RNA, 237 nt
Filed under: uncultured bacterium
Lineage: Bacteria
Description: partial 16S ribosomal RNA
Rfam family: Bacterial small subunit ribosomal RNA
Source: RNAcentral